Molecule: transfer RNA, 71 nt
Filed under: Cordylochernes scorpioides
Lineage: Eukaryota; Metazoa; Arthropoda; Arachnida; Pseudoscorpiones; Chernetidae
Description: tRNA-Cys
Rfam family: tRNA
About the family: Transfer RNA (tRNA) molecules are approximately 80 nucleotides in length. Their secondary structure includes four short double-helical elements and three loops (D, anti-codon, and T loops).
Source: RNAcentral
ACAUCGGUGGUUCAGUGGUAGAAUGCUCGCCUGCAACGCGGGAGGCCCGGGUACAAUUCCAGGCCGGUACA